This 133-nucleotide non-coding RNA is filed under the name Streptomyces tsukubensis. Lineage: Bacteria; Bacillati; Actinomycetota; Actinomycetes; Kitasatosporales; Streptomycetaceae. The record is from RNAcentral.
ACCAGGAAGCCGGUGUGAAUCCGGCGCGGUCCCGCCACUGUGACCGGGAAGCGUUCCUCCCGCACGCCACGUCCGUGAUCGCGGACGGGAAGGCGGAGGCGGAGGCGAGCGUCGAUCCGGGAGUCAGAGACUG